RNAcentral lists this ribosomal RNA (306 nucleotides) under Triticum aestivum (bread wheat). RNAcentral describes it as "partial small subunit ribosomal RNA". Lineage: Eukaryota; Viridiplantae; Streptophyta; Magnoliopsida; Poales; Poaceae. The record is from RNAcentral.
AUGAGAACAAAAUAUAGAUGUAAGGCCGCCAGCGCCUUUGCCACUAAUGACAGUCUCGUAGCCUCCGAAGCCGCCGAAAGAAAUAUGGUCACCACCAUAGACGCCACCCUCUUUCAAGUCAUUCACCACACCUUUUCGGCCCUUGCUAAUCAGGACCAUGAGGGUAGUGAAGAUGUAGCCGAUGUCGAUGCCAAUGAUCCUACCAUAGCUGUGGUUGAUGAACAGUCAGCCCGUGCAAUUUCCCAUGCCUCGCGUGCCCCCAAAAUUAAGAUGUUUUUUCCAUCUGAAGCGAAGGCAUGGUCCUAG